UACGUAGGGUGCGAGCGUUGUCCGGAAUUACUGGGCGUAAAGAGCUCGUAGGUGGUUUGUCGCGUUGUUCGUGAAAACUCACAGCUUAACUGUGGGCGUGCGGGCGAUACGGGCAGACUUGAGUACUGCAGGGGAGACUGGAAUUCCUGGUGUAGCGGUGGAAUGCGCAGAUAUCAGGAGGAACACUGGUGGCGAAGGCGGGUCUCUGGGCAGUAACUGACGCUGAGGAGCGAAAGCGUGGGGAGCGAACAGG
Molecule: ribosomal RNA, 253 nt
Filed under: uncultured bacterium
Lineage: Bacteria
Description: partial 16S ribosomal RNA
Rfam family: Bacterial small subunit ribosomal RNA
Source: RNAcentral